This 569-nucleotide ribosomal RNA is filed under the name bacterium enrichment culture clone 13-3. RNAcentral describes it as "bacterial SSU rRNA". It matches the Rfam family "Bacterial small subunit ribosomal RNA", at positions 338 to 917 of the family's 1533-position model. The record is from RNAcentral.
UCUACGGGCGGCAGCAGUGGGGAAUAUUGCACAAUGGGCGGAAGCCUGAUGCAGCAACGCCGCGUGCGGGAUGACGGCCUUCGGGUUGUAAACCGCUUUCGCCUGUGACGAAGCGUGAGUGACGGUAAUGGGUAAAGAAGCACCGGCUAACUACGUGCCAGCAGCCGCGGUGAUACGUAGGGUGCGAGCGUUGUCCGGAUUUAUUGGGCGUAAAGGGCUCGUAGGUGGUUGAUCGCGUCGGAAGUGUAAUCUUGGGGCUUAACCCUGAGCGUGCUUUCGAUACGGGUUGACUUGAGGAAGGUAGGGGAGAAUGGAAUUCCUGGUGGAGCGGUGGAAUGCGCAGAUAUCAGGAGGAACACCAGUGGCGAAGGCGGUUCUCUGGGCCUUUCCUGACGCUGAGGAGCGAAAGCGUGGGGAGCGAACAGGCUUAGAUACCCUGGUAGUCCACGCUGUAAACGGUGGGUACUAGGUGUGGGGUCCAUUCCACGGGUUCCGUGCCGUAGCUAACGCUUUAAGUACCCCGCCUGGGGAGUACGGCCGCAAGGCUAAAACUCAAAGGAAUUGACGGA